GACGAACGCUGGCGGCGUGCUUAACACAUGCAAGUCGAACGGAAAGGCCCUGCGUUUGUGGGGUGCUCGAGUGGCGAACGGGUGAGUAACACGUGAGUAACCUGCCCUUGACUUUGUGAUAACUUCAGGAAACUGGGGCUAAUACCGGAUAGGAGCUCCUGCUGCAUGGUGGGGGUUGGAAAGUUUCGGCGGUUGGGGAUGGACUCGCGGCUUAUCAGCUUGUUGGUGGGGUAGUGGCUUACCAAGGCUUUGACGGGUAGCCGGCCUGAGAGGGUGACCGGCCACAUUGGGACUGCGAUACGGCCCAGAAUCCUACGGGAGGCAGCAGUGGGGAAUCUUGCACAAUGGGCGGAAGCCUGAUGCAGCAACGCCGCGUGCGGGAUGACGGCCUUCGGGUUGUAAACCGCUUUGGCCUGUGCCGUAGCGAGAGUGACGGUAAUGAGUAAAGAAGCACCGGCUAACUACGUG
RNAcentral lists this ribosomal RNA (468 nucleotides) under uncultured bacterium. RNAcentral's name for it is "partial 16S ribosomal RNA". It matches the Rfam family "Bacterial small subunit ribosomal RNA", at positions 28 to 507 of the family's 1533-position model. The record is from RNAcentral.